This 241-nucleotide ribosomal RNA is filed under the name uncultured Pseudomonadota bacterium. RNAcentral's name for it is "uncultured proteobacterium partial 16S ribosomal RNA". It matches the Rfam family "Bacterial small subunit ribosomal RNA", at positions 556 to 792 of the family's 1533-position model. The record is from RNAcentral. Lineage: Bacteria; Pseudomonadati; Pseudomonadota.
CUGGGGUUUAAAGUGCGUGUAGGCGGGGAGGCAAGUCUGAUGUGAAAGCCCUGGGCUUAACCCGGGAAGUGCAUUGGAAACUGUCUUUUCUUGAGUUCUGGAGAGGAAGGGGGAAUUCCCGGUGUAGAGGUGAAAUUCGUAGAGAUCGGGAGGAAUACCAGUGGCGAAGGCGCCCUUCUGGACGGAUACUGACGCUGAGACGCGAAAGCGUGGGGAGCAAACAGGAUUAGAUACCCGCGUA